RNAcentral lists this ribosomal RNA (253 nucleotides) under uncultured bacterium. RNAcentral's name for it is "partial 16S ribosomal RNA". It matches the Rfam family "Bacterial small subunit ribosomal RNA", at positions 524 to 776 of the family's 1533-position model. The record is from RNAcentral.
UACGUAGAGGGCAAGCGUUGUCCGGAAUCAUUGGGCGUAAAGCGCGCGUAGGUGGCUUCAUAAGUCCGUUGUGAAAGUCAAAGGCUCAACCUUUGAAAGCCGAUGGAUACUGUGGAGCUAGAGUACGGAAGAGGCGAGUGGAAUUCCUGGUGUAGCGGUGGAAUGCGCAGAUAUCAGGAGGAACACCAAUAGCGAAGGCAGCUCGCUGGGACGUUACUGACACUGAGGCGCGAAAGCGUGGGGAGCGAACAGG